UACGUAGGGGGCAAGCGUUGCUCGGAAUUACUGGGCGUAAAGGGCGCGUAGGCGGCACGGCAAGUCAGGAGUGAAAGCCCUGGGCUCAACCCGGGAACUGCUUUUGAAACUGCCGAGCUAGAGUGCGGAAGGGGCAACUGGAAUUCCCAGUGUAGCGGUGAAAUGCGUAGAUAUUGGGAAGAACACCUGAGGCGAAGGCGGGUUGCUGGGCCGACACUGACGCUGAGGCGCGAAAGCCAGGGGAGCGAACGGG
RNAcentral lists this ribosomal RNA (253 nucleotides) under uncultured bacterium. RNAcentral describes it as "partial 16S ribosomal RNA". It matches the Rfam family "Bacterial small subunit ribosomal RNA", at positions 524 to 776 of the family's 1533-position model. The record is from RNAcentral.